UAUCUGGUUGAUCCUGCCAGUAGUCAUAUGCUUGUCUCAAAGACUAAGCCAUGCAUGUCUAAGUAUAAGUAUUAUACAGCGAAACUGCGAAUGGCUCAUUAAAACAGUUAUAGUUUAUUUGAUAAUCGAAUUUACAUGGAUAACCGUGGUAAUUCUAGAGCUAAUACAUGCUGGUAUGCCCGACUUUUGCGGAAGGGCGGUAUUUAUUAGAUAACAAGCCAAUAUUCCUUUGGUCUAUUGUGGUGACUCAUGAUAACUGAUCGAAUCGCAAGGCCUAUGGCCGCGAUAAGUCAUUCAAGUUUCUGCCCAUCAGCUUUCGAUGGUAGUGUAUUGGACUACCAUGGCGUUUACGGGUAACGGAGGAUUAGGGUUCGAUUCCGGAGAGGGAGCCUGAGAAACGGCUACCACAUCUAAGGAAGGCAGCAGGCGCGUAAAUUACCCAAUCCUGACUCAGGGAGGUAGUGACAAAGAAAUAACGGACCGAGGUCUUACGGCUUCGGGAUUGCAAUGAGCCGAAUUUACACCCCUUAACGAGAAUCGAUUGGAGGGCAAAGUCUGGUGCCACCAGCCCGCGGUAAUUCCAGCUCCAUAGCGUAUAUUAAAGUGGUGGAGUUAAAAAGCUCGUAGUUGGAUUCUGGGAGGUGCCAUUGUCCGCAAAGCGCGUGUGCAGCGGCGCCUUCAUCCUUUGUAACGCUCUUGGCAUUCAUUGCUGGGGGGGNUCAAA
RNAcentral lists this ribosomal RNA (724 nucleotides) under uncultured marine eukaryote. RNAcentral's name for it is "SSU rRNA". It matches the Rfam family "Eukaryotic small subunit ribosomal RNA", at positions 1 to 730 of the family's 1831-position model. The record is from RNAcentral.